ACCAAAUUUUGCCAAAAAUGAAAAUGAGAGAAUUCUUCAUUUUUAUUACAUUUCCUGAUACAUAUUAUAGUUUACUAAUUAUUCCUCUUAAUUACAGGGUCGGUCCUCUUGUCCUCCUCUUCUCUCUCCCUCUCCUUAUGUUGGUGCCUCCAGUGAGUCCCUUAACUUGUCAAGUCUCAUCAGUUCAGCUAACAUUGGACCCACCUGAGUCUUAACCUCUAACAAGUACGUCUACUAGUAUAUACAUGUAUAAACAUGACUUUAACGUCUUAAUGAUAUACAUGUACAUGUACAUUUACAUGUAGAUAUACAUGUAAUACUCUACGUUGGCCGAAGGUAAUUGAACUAUUAUGUUAAUGCUUAAUUGUACUGAAAGAAACAAUCCAUUUUUAAAAGCUACUGUACAAGUUAUGGUAAUUUAGCUAGCAAGCAUUAGAUGAUAGGAGUACUUGUAAUGCAACAUGUAUGGUACAUGUACAUGUACAUAAUAACAUGUCAUUUGUUGUUGUUUAUUGUUGUUGUUAGGUUGUUUGGGUGUUAUCAGAUAUGGUCCUUGAGUGUAUAGCAUGGCCCACGUGUUAACUAAACUACAAAGAGGACAUUAUCUGUUGGACAGAAAGAGGAAAGCACUUCAAGAACCAACCAGGGUUAAAUCAGUUGAUCCAGUACAUUCAAUAUGACACAGGAAUAAUAAUGAACCACAUUAGUACAUGGUCUUGGGUCAAUACCACCUUCUCACUACAGUACGGACAACAGUUUCCAAUCAACCCCACCCACAGUAUCAGAAGAGAAUAAGGAUGAAUAUUGUAAAGUAGCUAGAUAUGGUCCUUGUCCAAUUUCAGAUGAUGACAUAGCUAUGUACUCACAAUUUGACAGAUGAUUAUUUUAUUGUGUGUUAUAUAUGACUAUUUGAUUAUGUGUUCACCACUUUCUGUGGUGGUUUGUGUGUUUUAUCCCACGAGUGUGUUUGAAUAAUAAUAUUGACAGUUAAUAGUUAAUGCUAUGUCCUGGAACUGGAA
Molecule: long non-coding RNA, 1019 nt
Filed under: Amphimedon queenslandica
Lineage: Eukaryota; Metazoa; Porifera; Demospongiae; Haplosclerida; Niphatidae
Description: uncharacterized LOC109585944, transcript variant X2
Source: RNAcentral